UACGUAGGGUGCAAGCGUUGUCCGGAAUUAUUGGGCGUAAAGAGCUCGUAGGCGGUGUGUCGCGUCGGCCGUGAAAACCUGCAGCUUAACUGUGGGCUUGCGGUCGAUACGGGCAUCACUGGAGUUCGGCAGGGGAGACUGGAAUUCCUGGUGUAGCGGUGAAAUGCGCAGAUAUCGGGAGGAACACCAGUGGCGAAGGCGACUACCUGGCCUGUUUCUUGACGCUGAGGCGCGAAAGCUAGGGGAGCAAACGGG
This 255-nucleotide ribosomal RNA is filed under the name uncultured bacterium. RNAcentral describes it as "partial 16S ribosomal RNA". It matches the Rfam family "Bacterial small subunit ribosomal RNA", at positions 524 to 776 of the family's 1533-position model. The record is from RNAcentral.